Ooceraea biroi (clonal raider ant) is the source of this 250-nucleotide long non-coding RNA. RefSeq lists it as uncharacterized. Lineage: Eukaryota; Metazoa; Arthropoda; Insecta; Hymenoptera; Formicidae. The record is from RefSeq and is a predicted model, not a curated record.
GGCUUUAGGUUGUCGGCAAUAAGUUUCUUCACUUCCGACGCAAAUACCAUUUCUGGCUGUGCAAGCGAAUCUAUGCAACUCGCCUAUAAUCAAUAAGACGGUCAUCAUCAAUUUAAUUUAUAUUCGCAAAAAUUUUUGUCAUACUUACUGGACCAACUAUAUCGGCAACAUGGGACACUGUAGUCCCUGAUGCAGCACCCAGAUAUAAUACUUUACUGCCAUGAGGCAUGUAAAUUUGAUCAACUCCGCC